CGAAAGGCGUAGUCGAUGGAAAACAGGUUAAUAUUCCUGUACCACCUAUUGUGAGUGAUGGGGUGACGGAGAAGGAUAGAUCGGCCAAGUGUCGGAUUACUUGGUUCAAGCAUGUAGAAGUAAGGAAUAGGCAAAUCCGUUCCUUUUUAACUUCGAGACGUGAGUUACGAGAGACCUAGUCUCAUAAAGUGAUUGAUUCCAUGCUUCCUAGAAAAACCUCUAAAUGUUGAACAAUAGGUGCUCGUACUGUAAACGGACACACGUACGCGGGUAGAGUAUACCAAGGUGUUUGAGAUAAUUAUGGCUAAGGAACUCGGCAAAAUAGCUCCGUAACUUCGGAAGAAGGAGUGCCUAUAUUAGGUGAAAGCUCUUGCAGCUGGAGCCGAAAUAGGUGGCACUGAAAUGGUGGAAGCGACUGUUUACCAAAAACACAGGCCUGUGCUAACCCGCAAGGGGAUGUAUACGGGCUGACGCCUGCCCGGUGCUGGACGGUUAAGGGGAUGGGUUAUCCUUCGGGAGAAGCUUAGAACCGAAGCCCCAGUAAACGGCGGCCGUAACUAUAACGGUCCUAAGGUAGCGAAAUUCCUUGUCGUCUAAUUAGCGACCCGCAUGAAUGGCGUAACGACUUCUAUGCUGUCUCGGCCAUAAUCUCAGCGAAAUUGUAGUGCUGGUGAAGAUGCCAGCUUCCCGUUGUGGGACGGAAAGACCCCGUGCACCUUUACUAUAACCUAGCACUGGAUUUUGAUGAUAAAUGCGUAGGAUAGGUGGGAGACUUUGAAGAUUCGAUUUCGGUUGGAUCUGAGUCGUUGGUGAAAUACCACCCUUUUACUGUUAGGAUCCUAACUGUAAUCCGUUAUCCGGAUUAAGGACAAUGUUAGGCGGGUAGUUUGACUGGGGCGGUUGACUCCUAAAGAGUAACGGAGUCGCUCAAAGGUUCUCUCAGCCUGAUUGGAAACCAGGCGUCGAGUGUAAUGGCACAAGAGAGCUUGACUGUGAGAUCGACAGAUCGAGCAGGUACGAAAGUAGGACAUAGUGACCCGGUGCCUCCAUGUGGGAGGGGCAUCGAUCAUCGGAUAAAAGGUACGCCGGGGAUAACAGAUUAAUCGCGCCCAAGAGUUCACAUCGACGGCGCGGAUUGAUACCUCGAUGUCGGCUCAUCGCAUCCUGGGGCUGAAGAAGGUCCCAAGGGUUAGGCUGUUCGCCUAUUAAAGCGGUACGCGAGCUGGGUUCAGAACGUCGUGAGACAGUUCG
RNAcentral lists this ribosomal RNA (1251 nucleotides) under marine metagenome. Its description in RNAcentral is "bacterial LSU rRNA". It matches the Rfam family "Bacterial large subunit ribosomal RNA", at positions 1403 to 2633 of the family's 2925-position model. The record is from RNAcentral.